UGAGUAACGCGUAUGCGACCUGCCCGUUGCAGGGGGGAUAAUCGGGAGAAAUCCCGUCUAAUACCGCGUAACGCCGCGGGGCUGCAUGGCCCUGCGGCCAAAGGGAGCGAUUCCGGCAACGGAUGGGCAUGCGUGACAUUAGCUAGUUGGCGGGGCAACGGCCCACCAAGGCGACGAUGUCUAGGGGUUCUGAGAGGAAGGCCCCCCACACUGGUACUGAGACACGGACCAGACUCCUACGGAAGGCAGCAG
This 252-nucleotide ribosomal RNA is filed under the name uncultured bacterium. RNAcentral describes it as "partial 16S ribosomal RNA". It matches the Rfam family "Bacterial small subunit ribosomal RNA", at positions 107 to 354 of the family's 1533-position model. The record is from RNAcentral.